RNAcentral lists this ribosomal RNA (351 nucleotides) under uncultured Alphaproteobacteria bacterium. Its description in RNAcentral is "bacterial SSU rRNA". It matches the Rfam family "Bacterial small subunit ribosomal RNA", at positions 30 to 407 of the family's 1533-position model. The record is from RNAcentral. Lineage: Bacteria; Pseudomonadati; Pseudomonadota; Alphaproteobacteria.
AUUGAACGCUGGCGGCAGGCCUAACACAUGCAAGUCGAACGAACCCUUCGGGGUGAGUGGCGCACGGGUGCGUAACACGUGGGAAUAUGCCCUUAGGUAAGGAACAACGUCUGGAAACGGGCGCUAAUACCUUAUAAUGACUCCGGUCCAAAGAUUUAUCGCCUAAGGAUUAGCCCGCGCUAGAUUAGAUAGUUGGUGAGGUAAUGGCUCACCAAGUCGACGAUCUAUAGGGGGUCUGAGAGGAUGAUCCCCCACACUGGGACUGAGACACGGCCCAGACUCCUACGGGAGGCAGCAGUGAAGGAAUAUUGGACAAUGGAGAAACUCUGAUCCAGCCAUGCCGCGUGAGUG